This 963-nucleotide ribosomal RNA is filed under the name Triticum aestivum (bread wheat). RNAcentral describes it as "partial small subunit ribosomal RNA". The record is from RNAcentral. Lineage: Eukaryota; Viridiplantae; Streptophyta; Magnoliopsida; Poales; Poaceae.
AUGGUAGUCAAAACUUGGCGAUCCGAAGGGGUACUUGGCGAACAAUGGUCGCCGUGGUACUCGUCGGUCCAUGAAGUCGUUCUCGUAGGUCUUUGCGAUUCGUUCGGUACUCAUUCGGGCAUCUGUGUGGCCUUGCCGGUGGGGUACUUGGCGCUUGCGGUCCAACUCCAAGGUCAUUGCCGUGUAGUCGAACUUGACAAAAACGGGUCUUGCUGGGGACUUGGCGCAUCCAUCAGGAACUUGGUGGUACUUGGCGAGUUCCACGCUCGGCGACCCUUGGACUUGGCGUCAACUGCAAUAGGGCGUGAUGCAGGGACUUGGCGCGAUGCAGGAGCAACGGCCGCGGGACUUGGCAUGAUGCAGGAGGCUGGUUCUGAGCGGGACUUGCAGCAGCGGCGGCAGCGGCGGGAACUUGGGACGAUGGUCUCGCGAGGCAUGGGGAGGCUCGAGGCGACAACGUCGAGGAGGAAGACCGGCGAUGCAGCUGCGGGCACCGGGAGGCGUGGCUCCGACGGGCAGGGCCGAAGACGAGGUGCAGAAGGGCGGGGAGGGACUCAGCGACGGGGACGGCCUGAAACUUCUACUGGUGGCGCUCGUGGCCAUGGGACGCGAAACCCGAGGUCGAAGGCGAGGCGCGGUGGAGGAGCUUGGCGGCGCGGCGGCCGGACGAAGCAGGGAGGCGCACGAGGAGACUCAGGCGCGGCAGGGCAGCGGUGCUGGCGAUGGGGAGGUCUCGCAGCGCGGGUGAGAGUGCCAUGGGAGGUGGCUGGAGGUGCGAACGGAGCAGAGGAAGGGAGGUCGGGCGUUGCAGCUACACGUGCGGGGGAUGCGGUGGUGCUGGCAGGGGAGGCACGCCAUGGGGAUCGAGCGCGGGCGCUCCUCCUGGCAUUGGCUCUGUGUGUGGCGGCGCACAGGGAGAGAUGGAGAUCGAUCGGGAGAGGAGGCCAGCGAGCAAGGGGAUAA